UCAGGUCCUGCCCCAAUAUGCGUGGGAGAAAUUUGUGGGCUUGGGGGAAGGGGCUUUGGGGGGAUCAACACAUCCAGGCCCUAGGCCCAAACCCACCUCCAGGGGCUGAAUUGCCUUUGGCAACCCUGCCAGGCCGGGAGUGCAGCAGCACCCUUUACAGAGACACGCCACCUCGCAUCAGGUCCUGAGCCCAUGCUCUCCCGGGCAAUCUUACAAGAUGGGUGUUUUGCAGAGGUUAAGUGGGUUGUGUAAAGCCGGAGGGCAAAGAUCUGCUGGAAACUGCCGGCUCCAGCGGCCAGCGCACUGACGAGCCCCUCUGGCGCUCGAGGGCUCCGCCGCAGCGAGGUUGGUGGGUCAGAAGACUCCAACCCGGGAGCCGGACUCGCGACGGUGGGGAAGGCACGCAGGCCCAGCUGGCCGCGCCCCUGCCGAGAGCAGCGCAAAACUACACCUCCCAGGGUUCCCAGCGGUGCCACGGGCGGGGGCGGGGGCGCGGAGACGCAGGGGAGACCUGGGGUGGUGCGGCGGCUGGGCAAAGGCGCCCCAGGGCCGAGAGUCCUGCUUCCCGGAGCGGCAAGACUGAGAUUAACUGAAGGAGAAGAUUGUACAUCCCAGGGCUGAAAAUGCUGUCUGCCCCUUGCUGGAGCUGCCUAUCUGUCCCGUGGGGUCAUUCUGGGGUGCUGGGAAUGGCCUAAGGGCUUCACGGAGUGCCGGGGUUGACUUCUAGAGACAAGCAAAACCCUCAGGGGGCAGAUAAUUAGCAGUGCACAAGAGAUACAGCCAACUCAGAAAAACCCAUCCUUCCUGGCUGUGUGACCUUGAGCAACAGGUGCAUCUGCCAUCCUACACCGAAUUUGGCUUUCUACAGGACCAUGGAGGUCUUCAUAGAGCCUGGCCCAAGGGAUCUACUCUCUUCUGAUGGAUAGUGCUCUGUGACAUGACCUGAUGCUGCUCCUCAGUGGGACCUGUACCUGUUAACAAGUACAUGCUUACAUGUGUGUGUGUUGGGGGUCACCUCAUCGGCCAAAGCAUAACUACCCCUUGCAGGUGAGAGUGUCUUGUAAGCAAGAUGAGAUUUUCCUGGUAGGAUUUCUGGGGAGUACAGGACAAGUGGAUGAGCCCUAUGAACCAGGCAUGUUGAUCCUCCAAGCUGAUAUUAUAAGGGCUAUGAAGAGGACUCCCCCCCACCCUCCCAGAACCACACUGGGCACCCUGCAGAUUUGAGGGUGGGCAGAGAAGAUCUGGAGAGGAUGGAUAUGGUCUCAGGAACAUCCAGCUCACUGCAUGGAUGCCUCCAGCGCCAAGUGGGGCAGAGAUGAUGCUGGGAGUGGAGUGAUAGAAGCUGGCCUAGGAUCUAGAGAAGAGGAAGAGAAGGAUAUGGAGGACCAGUCUCUUGGAAGUGGAGGAGGGGAGAGAUAUCUAGGCUGCUUUGGGUAAGGGGAACAGCCUGAGCUGGGACCACUGGCCUGAAGGUAGAGAAGGAAGAGGAGAUUUUGAUCAGAUUGGGGAACCCUGGUCUUGGUGCCCAGUGUCCCAGCUUAGCUUCGGGCCAUGGUGGGGCUCUCUUGGAAUGAUGGCUUCCCAUUCCAGGGCUUCUCCUGUUCCUCCAUUUGACCUGUGCCCUGUGUUACCUCAGUUCCUUGCUCACUGGAUGACUCCCAAAGCACGGAGCUUGGUCCUGGCAGGAGAUCUGACCUGCUCCACCGCUGCAGCUCUCACUGCACCCACUUUAUGCUUCUAGGGUUUUCUCUUUUGCCAAGAAGCAGUUGAUCUCCAGCAUCCAUCCUCAGACCUCCCACUUUUAAGUUGCAUCAGGAUACUUGCUGCUUUCUGUGGCGCCUGGUAGGACACAUCUAUCCAGUCAUCCUGAAUUGCCACUCCUGGCUGGGGGCUGACUGGGGAGACUGCCAUGGCUGGUGGGGAGGGGAGAUGCUAGAGUCCUGGGGAGAAGUGAGAGUCUUGGGAAGGAGAGAGGAAGGGGCUGGUUGCAGGAGAUGCCAAGGGGAGGGGACCAGCCCCUGGGUGGUGGCAAAAGACUGAACUCUGUGUGUGUGUGUGUGUGUGUGUGUGUGUGUGUGGUGUUUGGGGGAGGGGAUGUACUGCCUGGAACAGAAGCUGCUCAGAGAUCAACUAAUAUAGUACCUCCACCUUUAAUAAUGAGAAGACUAAGGCCUAAAGAGGAAAGAGAUGGUGUUGCUGGAGGGGUUGGGGGUGGGGGGGAGUCCUUUGGCUUCUGGACCCAGGCCCAGUCCUCUCUGGGAUGUGAGUCCCUCCUAUUCCUCUCUCUGUCCCUAAGCGUGGACUAUGGACCUGGGGCAGCAGAUGUGAUAUCUGUGCCCACAGGCACAUGUUUGGCGACAGCAGUGUGGAAGGCCUCUUUCUCUGCCAAGUUCACUUCCUGCUGGACUACCUGGUUCCUGCUUGUGGCCCCUCCAUCCCUCUAGCCUAGAACCAACCCAAUUCCAGAUCUUUGCUCAGCUCAUUGGUGCCAGAGCAACACACCUUUCUUCAGCCUAGGAUGCAGAUAGGAAAUGUGCUGGGCAUUUGGGGGUUUUCUUGGGUUAAGGACUGACACAGUGCAUGGCAGAGAGGAGCUUGUCAUGGGUGGGGUGGGGGCUGGGUCCUAAUUCCUAGGGCUCUGCUAGCAGCCCAGGUUUUGGUCUCCUAAAACUCAGUAUCUAAGGCCUCAGUUUCUUGAGCAUGCUUCCUGGUUGCCAUGGUUGCCUGAUGCUUUGGACAUGAUCAGUGACCAGCUGUGUGGCCACUCCCUGGACCUUGAGAUGUUGGAGGCCGUUGGAUGGGCAUUGCUGGACAGAGACCCUCACCAUUAACUUCUUCACACAAGACUUCCCCUAAUGGCCCCUCCCUCUGUGCUGAUAUGGCCCCCAUCCCUUUCCCUACAUGGAGGGACCCCAGUGAGUCAUUCCUCUAUAAUGCCAACACCAGGCUUCCCUCCCCAGUGCCUCCAAUACACCACCUGUCUAUCUCCCACGUCCCACUCUUCCUCCUCCUGUCUUUACCUGUUUCCCUUGGUAACUCUCUGGAGCCUGGGGAAGCCUUCUCAGGACAAGAUGGUCCUUCAUGACCAGAUCCUUCUCACCAAGGGGCCUCCAAUCUCAGCCCCCCAAGGGAUGGGGAUGCUGCCAAGGUGAGAGUGUGGGUGAGAUCCUGGGGAACACGGUGACCCAAGCCCGAGGUGCUGCCCAGACUUUUCCCCCAACUGUAUUAGUUUUCUGGGGCUGCCAUAACAAGUUACCACACACUCAGUGCCUUAAAACAACAUAAAUUCAUUCUCUCAUGGUUCUGGAGGUCAGAAGUCUGAAAUUAGUUUCCCUGAGCCAAAAUCAACGUGCAAGGGGAGCUGUGCUCCCUCCAGAGGCUCCGGAGGAGAAUCCAUUCUUUGCUUUCGUCCAGCCUCUGGUGGCCACUCUGAUCUCUCUCACAUUGUCUCCUCUUUGCUGCCUCCCUCUUUUAAGGAGACUUGGGAUUGGGCCUCAUGUCUCUGGGAGGUCAUUUUUCAGCCUCCUACACCACCCUUCACCCAAAUGCACACACUCACAGUUGUUGAUCGCUUGGUCUAGGAGCUGUGGAAAUCAGCCAGGAAAGGAGUUGAGAAGUAGGAGAGGGCCCGGGACUAGCCCUAGGCCAAAGGCUUAGUAGCUUCUGGGUGGGCCUACCUGGGAGUGGGAGGGGGGAGCAGCAAAGUCUGGGGGGAACUGCCACAUUUUUCCCCAAGUUGUACAUCCCAAAUAGUAUUUGCCCAAAGACCUCUUUCAUGCCACCUGCCCCACUUGCGGGUUGGGAAGCACUAGGGGUUAUGGGUAAGAGCCUGGGUAGUCAGGCCCUGGGGCCAAGGUAGGCUGAGGCAUCACCACUUACCAGUUGUGGUUCUCAAAAUGUGGGCUAGGGCCAGCAGCAUUAACAUCAUCUGGGAGUUUAUUAGAAAUGCAAUUUCUUGGGGGGAGCGCCUGGGUGGCUCAGUUGGUUAAGUGUCCAAC
This is a long non-coding RNA of Prionailurus viverrinus (fishing cat), 3998 nucleotides long. RefSeq lists it as uncharacterized. The record is from RefSeq and is a predicted model, not a curated record. The transcript has 4 exons. NCBI's taxonomy places the organism in Eukaryota, Metazoa, Chordata, Mammalia, Carnivora, Felidae.